CAGAGUUUGAUCUGGCUCAGGAUGAACGCUAGCGGCAGGCUUAACACAUGCAAGUCGAGGGGGCAGCGGGGGUGUAGCAAUACACUGCCGGCGACCGGCGCACGGGUGCGUAACGCGUAUGCAACCUACCCAUAACAGGGGCGAUAACACUGAGAAAUUGGUACUAAUUCCCCAUAACAUUCGAAGAGGCAUCUCUUUGGGUUGAAAACUCCGGUGGUUAUGGAUGGGCAUGCGUUGUAUUAGCUAGUUGGUGGGG
This 256-nucleotide ribosomal RNA is filed under the name uncultured bacterium. Its description in RNAcentral is "partial 16S ribosomal RNA". It matches the Rfam family "Bacterial small subunit ribosomal RNA", at positions 8 to 257 of the family's 1533-position model. The record is from RNAcentral.